GUGAUUGGUCACUUGGGGGCAGCACGUUGUAAACACCACGCGGACGUUUCUUCGCGGUUUAAAGUUAAUAUGGCUAACUAGUUAGCAAACUGUUGCUUAUUUACACUACCGCCAGACACAAGGAAACAUUAACCUGUAUUUGGAGUCGCCUGAGGGAUGAAUACGGGCCACGCAAUCGGAGGGCUGCAAUCUUCUCGAUCAAUUUCUACCUGCGUUCCUCUUUGUGAUGUUUUGGGACACAUUCCAGUCCAAUAUCUACAACGCUAUUUUGGCCGAACAAUCAAAUUGAACGAGUGGGUGAGGAGAGCGGCCACAAGAGGUGGAAAUCAUCGCCUGAGAGGAAGCAGGAAGUGGCUGCUGAUGGCGUCAGGAUCGAGGUGUCGCUCCCUGCCUGGGUGCUCUGCCGUGCCACAUCUGUCCAUCUGUCAAGCAUACAGGCCCAUCAAUCAAACAGCUGAAUGCAGGUUUUCUGUCCAUAAACAACUCUCCUGUCUACCUGAGGCCAGAAAAAGAUAUUUUUUAAAGAAGAACAAAUGACACCUGUGAGUGAUAGAAGGCCUCAAAUAGAGAGAAAGUGAGGAGAGAAAGAACCAUCACCGACUUAUUAGCCUGGUGGUCUCGGAGCGAGACACUGGCCAAUAAAAAAGCUGUCUCUUCUCUGGAUUAUCCCAGCGUUGAUGGAACUGACAGGCCGCUUCUCGCUUCGGGAUUCCCAUUUGGGAGCAAAGACAACUGGUUUCUGUGGUUUUAUUCAACCGUCCUGGCCCAUCACUCUCACAUUCUCUGUACACAAAUAGACCCUGGGGGUUCGCCCGAGGACGAGUAGCCGCCCCCCCAAAGAAGCUGGUGAAAAGCAGCUGAAGGAACAGUAAUAACAGACAGUAAUAUAAACAUUGGAGGCAAAUCCUGCCAGCAAGUUUAUUAAAAAUAGACUAAAUUGUUGGUGCUUGUGUUCCUGGUGAAGUGUCAACUUUUAUAGAACUCAACAACUUUCCAAAUAUUUGGUUUCUAUGCUGAGAGGCUCGUAGUUUUAGAUAUUUAUUUGGCCACUUGGGGGCAGCACAAGUUCUAAACACAACACUGACAUAUUAUCACUUUAAUUUACACAUCCAACAGACAUGGAGCAAUAUUUACUCCACCUUUUAGUCACCAUCAAAGCAAAAUGGAGCUUUUUAGAUGUUUCCAAGGUCAGGAGG
Molecule: long non-coding RNA, 1196 nt
Filed under: Cottoperca gobio
Lineage: Eukaryota; Metazoa; Chordata; Actinopteri; Perciformes; Bovichtidae
Description: lncRNA (ENSCGOG00000010737.1)
Source: RNAcentral